RNAcentral lists this ribosomal RNA (467 nucleotides) under uncultured bacterium. Its description in RNAcentral is "partial 16S ribosomal RNA". It matches the Rfam family "Bacterial small subunit ribosomal RNA", at positions 28 to 507 of the family's 1533-position model. The record is from RNAcentral.
GAUGAACGCUGGCGGCGUGCUUAACACAUGCAAGUCGAACGGAAAGGCCCAAGCUUGCUUGGGUACUCGAGUGGCGAACGGGUGAGUAACACGUGGGUGAUCUGCCCUGCACUUCGGGAUAAGCCUGGGAAACUGGGUCUAAUACCGGAUAGGACCACUUCUUGGAUGUUGUGGUGGAAAGUUUUUUCGGUGUGGGAUGAGCUCGCGGCCUAUCAGCUUGUUGGUGGGGUAAUGGCCUACCAAGGCGUCGACGGGUAGCCGGCCUGAGAGGGUGUACGGCCACAUUGGGACUGAGAUACGGCCCAGACUCCUACGGGUGGCAGCAGUGGGGAAUAUUGCACAAUGGGCGCAAGCCUGAUGCAGCGACGCCGCGUGGGGGAUGACGGCCUUCGGGUUGUAAACUCCUUUCGCUAGGGACGAAGCGUUUUGUGACGGUACCUGGAGAAGAAGCACCGGCUAACUACGUG